UGUACUCAGGGCUAGAAAGGAAUUGAUACUAUGGAUGGCCAAGGGGAGGCCGCCUCCCACCCCCACCAUGCAGCCUCCUGGCUUGGGCUUCCUCCUCCCCUGCCUCCCUUCUACCUUUCAUCAAAUUCAGCAGCUAUUUGAGGUACCAAGCAGGCACUGUGGGGGAACACAGAUGCACAGGUGAUACCGAGCAAUCCCGAAAUCCCAGGCUGCCCCAGGACUGUGGCCUCCCUGGGGAAGCAGCAGUGUCCCAGCAAGGACUAUCUGAGGGAGGAAGGGGAAAGAGCCUGAGCCAGGCGGGGCCCUCCUACCACUGACAGGAUUGCGGCAGGGAGAUGCUGCUGCCCUCCGGUGGCAAUGAGCUGCCCUGCAACUCAGACCACGUGAUUUCUGAGAACAGGCGUCCCUGGAGAAGAACUGAAACUUAGGGUGGGGACCGUAGAAAGGGGCGGAGAGAUCCGGAAGCUGCCUAACCUGGAGCUGAGCUGAGGUCAGCUGAGCCCUGGGACAGCCUGCACAGCAGCUCAGGAUGGCAUCAGGCAGGGCACGCAGCACCCGAAAGCUCCGGAACUGGGUGGUGGAGCAACUGGAGAGCGGGCUCUUCCCAGGGGUGUGCUGGUAUGAUGCAGCGAAGACAAUGUUCCAGAUUCCCUGGAAGCACGCAGGCAAGCAGGACUUCCGGGAGGAUCAGGAUGCUGCUUUCUUCAAGGCCUGGGCAAUGUUUAAGGGAAAGUACAAGGAGGGGGAUGCAGAAGGCCCUGCUAUCUGGAAGACUCGUCUGCGCUGUGCCCUCAACAAGAGUCCUGAAUUUGAGGAGGUUCCUGAGAAUGGCCAUAGGGAUGGGGCUGAGCCUUACAAGGUGUACCGGCUGCUGCCACCAGGAACCCUCCCUGCCCAGCCAGAGACCCAGAAAUCACCAUUAAAGCGACCCCACAGUUCUGUGUCCUCAGAGAGGGAAGGUUCCACAAAGAACUGCACACUCAGUCCCUCCUCACUCCAGGACCCCCUCAGAAAGGAGGAGGUGGGGGCCAGUGGGGAAGCAGGCCAUUCAGACUCUGGGAGCAGCAGGAGCAGCCUGGAGCCUCGGGAAGGUACAGACACACCUGAGGCCCCUUUCCAAGGAGAUCAGGUGUCCCUGGAGCUUCUGCCUCCUCCAGACUCAGAACCUCGUGCUGACCAGGUGGGCCUCUGGGAAGAGGCACUGGUGCAGCUGGCCGAUCUCUGUCCGCAGACUACUCGCUGUUGCUUACCUUCAUCUACAAUGGGCACGUGGUGGGGGAGGCCCAGGUGCAGAGCCUGGACUGCCGCCUUGUGGCUGAGCCCUUGGGCUCCCAGUGCGGAAUGGAGCAGGUGGUAUUUCCCAAGCCUGGUCCACAAGAGCCUACCCAGCGCCUGCUCAGCCAACUCAAGAGAGGUGUCCUGGUGGCCAGCAACUCCCGAGGCCUCUUCGUCCAGCGUCUUUGCCCUAUCCCCAUCUCCUGGAACGCGCCCUACUCCCCUCCUGGUCCAGGCCCGCAUCUGCUGCCCAGCAACAAGUGCGUGGAGCUUUUUAGAACUGCCUACUUCUGCAGAGACUUGGCCAAGUACUCCCAGGGCCUGGGCCCACCACCCAAGUUCCAGGUAACACUGAAUUUCUGGGAGGAGAACCCUGGCCCCAGCCACACCCCACAGAGUCUUAUCACAGUGCAGAUGGAGCAGGCCUUUGCCCGACAUUUACUGGAGGAGACACCGGAGGAGCAGGCAGCCACUCUGUCCCUGGUGCAGAGCCUGGGGGACCCACCUUCCUCCCCUCCUCUCUCUUCCUCCUAUCUUUGAAAGACACUCAUUCUCCACGCUAUUGACCUGCCUCACUGGGUGAUAAUUCUCAGUGGUUGUCAGUGAUAGUUACAUCCUUGAACUCCUCGUGUACCCUGGCUGGUGGGGAACUCAACAGUUUUUAUGACUUAUCUUUUUUUUUAAAUUUUGAAGCCCUCUAUAUUCCUCUUUGAUUUCUGAGGAACUGAAUUGGGAAAGUCCAAAUGGUGUGAACUCAGGGGACUCUUCCCCAACCCCAAAGCCAAGCACUUUAUAUUUCUUCUUAGAUUUCACUAAGGAUUUACAAUAAAAUUUUACUGAAGAGGAA
RNA transcript from Manis javanica (Malayan pangolin), 2122 nucleotides. It is a transcript of the gene named interferon regulatory factor 9, with no coding region annotated. The record is from RefSeq and is a predicted model, not a curated record. NCBI's taxonomy places the organism in Eukaryota, Metazoa, Chordata, Mammalia, Pholidota, Manidae.